GUGAGAAUGCCCUUUCCCCUUAUACCCAAACGGAGCUGGUAUCAGGAACACACGCCUGUCCACCACAACUACUUGCUACACCCCACCCCCGCGGGUCCACAGCGAUGAUUUUUUUAAGAUAUAAACAAAAUCUUGACUUAGCUAUGAUUAGGGCGGGCGGUUAAUUUCGUGCCCGCCACCGCUGUUAUACGAAAUACCCAAAACAACCGCCCCCGGCGUAAAGGGUGACUAGAGACAGUUAGACUUUUUGGAAAAAAUUGCCCCGCCGUAAAACGCCCCUGCAAAUUGGAAACCCAAAAUAAAAUGCCAUUAAACUAGAAACCACUAAACCUCGGAAAAGCUAAUAAGCUUACUGGGAUUAGAUUCCCCAAUAUGCUCAACCUAAAUCUAAUGUUGUGUAAACGGAAAUUUCCCCGCCAGAGAACUACCAAUGAAAAACUUAAAACUCCAAGGACUUGGGAGUGCUCCGUUCAACCUAGAGGAGCCUGUCUUCAAUCGAUAAUCCCUGUUCUAUCCUACCACCUCUUGCCC
RNAcentral lists this ribosomal RNA (531 nucleotides) under Plestiodon elegans. Its description in RNAcentral is "partial 12S ribosomal RNA". The record is from RNAcentral. Lineage: Eukaryota; Metazoa; Chordata; Lepidosauria; Squamata; Scincidae.